Homo sapiens (human) is the source of this 65-nucleotide microRNA precursor. Lineage: Eukaryota; Metazoa; Chordata; Mammalia; Primates; Hominidae. The record is from Ensembl.
CUCCUCUGGGGGUGGGGGGCUGGGCGUGGUGGACAGCGAUGCAUCCCUCGCCUUCUCACCCUCAG